UGGGUAGGUAGUGAAGUGGUCAAACACGGAUGACUGUAAAUCAUCUCCUAACGGUUCGGGGGUUCAAAUCCCUCUCUACCCAUC
Molecule: transfer RNA, 84 nt
Filed under: compost metagenome
Description: tRNA-Tyr
Rfam family: tRNA
About the family: Transfer RNA (tRNA) molecules are approximately 80 nucleotides in length. Their secondary structure includes four short double-helical elements and three loops (D, anti-codon, and T loops).
Source: RNAcentral